AUUGAACGCUGGCGGCAUGCUUUACACAUGCAAGUCGAACGGCAGCGCGGGCUUCGGCCUGGCGGCGAGUGGCGAACGGGUGAGUAAUACAUCGGAACGUGCCCAGUAGUGGGGGAUAGCUCGGCGAAAGCCGGAUUAAUACCGCAUACGACCUGAGGGUGAAAGCGGGGGUUCUUCGGACCUCGCGCUUUUGUAGCUGCCGAUGGCAGAUUUGCUAGUUGGUGGGGUAAAGGCCUACCAAGGCGACGAUCUGUAGCUGGUCUGAGAGGACGACCAGCCACACGGGGAGUGAGACACGGCCCAGACGCCUACGGGAGGCAGCAGUGGGGAAUUUUGGACAAUGGGCGAAAGCCUGAUCCAGCAAUGCCGCGUGUGUGAUGAAGGCCUUCGGGUUGUAAAGCACUUUUGGCGGGAACGAAAAGGACUGUGCCAAUACCACGGUUCGAUGACGGUACCCGAAGAAUAAGCACCGGCUAACUACGUG
Molecule: ribosomal RNA, 484 nt
Filed under: uncultured bacterium
Lineage: Bacteria
Description: partial 16S ribosomal RNA
Rfam family: Bacterial small subunit ribosomal RNA
Source: RNAcentral